RNAcentral lists this microRNA precursor (83 nucleotides) under Loxodonta africana (African savanna elephant). RNAcentral describes it as "miRNA (ENSLAFG00000028975.1)". Lineage: Eukaryota; Metazoa; Chordata; Mammalia; Proboscidea; Elephantidae. The record is from RNAcentral.
UAGGGUGACCAACCAUCUUGGUUUGCCUGGGAUUGAGGGGGUUCCCAGGAUGCUGGACUUUCAGUUUUUAAACCAGGAAAGUC